CCCUUAGAUGUUCUGGGCCGCACGCGCGCUACACUGAUUCAUGCAACAAGUUUUGUCCUUGGCUGAUAGGCCUGGGUAAUCUUUGAACGUGAAUCGUGAUGGGGAUAGAUGAUUGCAAUUAUUCAUCUUCAACGAGGAAUUCCUAGUAAACGCAAGUCAUCAGCUUGCAUUGAUUACGUCCCUGCCCUUUGUACACACCGCCCGUCGCACCUACCGAUUGAAUGGUCCGGUGAAAUCUUCGGAUCUGAGAGAUGUCUGAUUAAUUUCGGACGCCUUUUGGAAAAGUUGCUUAAACCUUACCAUUUUGAGGAAGGUGAAGUCGUAACA
This 327-nucleotide ribosomal RNA is filed under the name uncultured eukaryote. RNAcentral's name for it is "partial 18S ribosomal RNA". It matches the Rfam family "Eukaryotic small subunit ribosomal RNA", at positions 1470 to 1796 of the family's 1831-position model. The record is from RNAcentral.